UGAUACUGGCAAGCUUGAGUCUCGUAGAGGGGGGGUAGAAUUCCAGGUGUAGCGUUGAAAUGCGUAGAGAUNUGGAGGAANANCCGGUGGCGAAGGCGGNCCCCNUGGACGANGANUGACGNUCAGGUGCGAAAGCGUGGGGAGCAAACAGGAUNAGAUACCCUGGUAGUCCACGCCGUAAACGAUGUCGACUUGGAGGUUGUGCCCUUGAGGCGUGGCUUCNGGAGCUAACGCGUUAAGUCGACCGCCCGGGGAGUACGGCCGCAAGGUUAAAACUCAAAUGAAUUGACGGGGGCCCGCACAAGCGGUGGAGCAUGUGGUUUAAUUCGAUGCAACGCGAAGAACCUUACCUGGUCUUGACAUCCACGGAAGUUUUCAGAGAUGAGAAUGUGCCUUCGGGAACCGUGAGACAGGUGCUGCAUGGCUGUCGUCAGCUCGUGUUGUGAAAUGUUGGGUUAAGUCCCGCAACGAGCGCAACCCUUAUCCUUUGUUGCCGGCGGUCCGGCCGGGAACUCAAAGGAGACUGCCAGUGAUAAACUGGAGGAAGGUGGGGAUGACGUCAAGUCAUCAUGGCCCUUACGACCAGGGCUACACACGUGCUACAAUGGCGCAUACAAAGAGAAGCGACCUCGCGAGAGCAAGCGGACCUCAUAAAGUGCGUCGUAGUCCGGAUUGGAGUCUGCAACUCGACUCCAUGAAGUCGGAAUCGCUAGUAAUCGUGGAUCAGAAUGCCACGGUGAAUACGUUCCCGGGCCUUGUACACACCGCCCGUCACACCAUGGGAGUGGGUUGCAAAAGAAGUAGGUAGCUUAACCUUCGGGAGGGCGCUUACCACUUUGUGAUUCAUGACUGGGGUG
Molecule: ribosomal RNA, 857 nt
Filed under: uncultured bacterium
Lineage: Bacteria
Description: bacterial SSU rRNA
Rfam family: Bacterial small subunit ribosomal RNA
Source: RNAcentral